RNAcentral lists this unclassified non-coding RNA (436 nucleotides) under Hevea brasiliensis (rubber tree). The record is from RNAcentral. Lineage: Eukaryota; Viridiplantae; Streptophyta; Magnoliopsida; Malpighiales; Euphorbiaceae.
GAACAUCAGGUACUUUAGUCUUUGACAAAUUCUUAUUUUUAUAUUAAUAUUAUUCUUUUUGAUAUUAUAAAUUUAUUGAUAGAUUCCAAAGGAAAGGAGCUGUAGCAAAGUACUCUGGAAUUACAGAAAUUAGUGCCAAUAUAGGAAAAAAUAGAAGUGAAACAUCAGACUGCAAAGCUUAGAACUCAAAAUUAUGCCAAUGUGUUUGCAAAUUCUCCCUGUCUUCUCCCCUCUCACACUGUAAUUUCUUCAUUUGAGAAAUUAGAAAAGAUCACAGUUAGUGAAUCUAUCUGAUUGGGAAUUUGUAGUUUUCUGGAUGUUGACAUGAAGGAACAAACAUUUGGCGCUUUAACUAAUCUUAUAGAUGGAUGCUUAGCGUUAUAUAGUUGUUGCAUGAAUUUUCUUUUGUGCAUAAUUGGUUGAUGAAAUUACUAGU